This 377-nucleotide ribosomal RNA is filed under the name uncultured eukaryote. Its description in RNAcentral is "partial 18S ribosomal RNA". It matches the Rfam family "Eukaryotic small subunit ribosomal RNA", at positions 592 to 976 of the family's 1831-position model. The record is from RNAcentral.
CAAUAGCGUAUAUUUAAGUUGCUGCAGUUAAAAAGCUCGUAGUUGGAUUUCGGGUGGGAAUGGCCGGUCCGCCGUUUCGGUGUGCACUUGCUACGCCCACCUUGCUGCCGGGGACGUGCUCUUGAGUUCACGCUCGGGACACGGAGUCGGCGAGGUUACUUUGAGUAAAUUAGAGUGUUCAAAGCAGGCCUACGCUCUGAAUACAUUAGCAUGGAAUAACACGAUAGGACUCUGGCCUAUCUUGUUGGUCUGUAGGACCGGAGUAAUGAUUAAGAGGGACAGUCGGGGGCAUUCGUAUUUCAUUGUCAGAGGUGAAAUUCUUGGAUUUAUGGAAGAUGAACUACUGCGAAAGCAUUUACCAAGGAUGUUUUCAUUAA